RNAcentral lists this long non-coding RNA (5129 nucleotides) under Sus scrofa (pig). RNAcentral's name for it is "lncRNA (ENSSSCG00050007807.1)". Lineage: Eukaryota; Metazoa; Chordata; Mammalia; Artiodactyla; Suidae. The record is from RNAcentral.
GGUUUCCAUGGCGACGCAUUCAUCCUCACAGCGGAAUUUGUGCCUCGGGAGCUGAGCCUCACACGCGGCGCCUUCUCAGCGGUGCCGGGACCUUCGUUCCUGCAAUGAUGUGCUGCCCUGAGCGGCUCAGGAGGUUUCCUUCUCGACUCUCAGGCUUAGUCUUGGAUCUAAGGUGAGCUCCCAGCUGAAAGGCUUUGCGAGGACGCCCAGGACUCCGACUUGCUGACGCGCAUACAUUACCCACCCCACCUGUCACCCCGCGCCUGUCACCCUGCACCGCCUCUUCUCCGCUGCAGACUGGUGGGGUGUGAACAAAGUGCUCUCGCGACCCGUGUGGCCAGGAGGUCGCUGCCCUCCCUGGCCAUUUCCUGCGACCUUGGGCCCCUGGGCCUGGGCCCUCCAGCCCCCUGUUCCUAGACAGGGCUCUAGUCUGGGAUGCAGCGCGUAGGCUGGCUCUGCUGAGUGUCCGCUGGUCUGCCGGCCUCUGCUUUGCGGGAAGGCCUCUGCUCACAGACUCUGCUCAGACUCAGAGUCCCCAGGUCUGAGGCCGAAGGGCUGGGUCGGCCUGCUGCUGGAACCCCCCAGGGCCCACGCGUCCACAAAGGCCUGUGCCUGACCCGGCCAGUGCCCCAAGGCUCUGCAGAGGCUGGGAAGGCCACGGGGCCCUCCUGGCUGGAGGCGAGAAGACACCUGCCCGCUUUCUCCUGCGGCUGCCCCGCCGGCCCUCCACUGCCUGCCCAGCAUGCAGGCCAGCCUUGGGCUUCUGCAGGCCGGGCUACAACCAUGGCCACCGCUCACCGCUGCAGCCCCUGAGUCCUUCCCAGCCUCAUCUGCAGACUCUGCCCUCGCCCUGUCCCACCCACACCUGCUGAUGUGUCCCUGCCAUACUGGGGGUCCUGGGAGCCCCUCCGAGAGCACUCGUGGAGGCACGGUGGCCUCAGGAGUUCCGGCUGGACACACAUGGCUGUGUCCGCCCCGUGUCCAGCACCUGGGUGGGGCUGGUGUCCUUGUGGGGCCCGCAGGUUUCAGUGAGGCCUCAGAGGCUCCACUCUGGCCUUGGGGAGGCUCUAAGCCAGGCCCCAGGCUUCCCUGUGGGUUCUUGGUGGCUCCCGUCACCUGAGCAGAGGGGUCCCCGUGGAGCAGAGCAGCCACCUGGGGCUUACCUGACCUCCUUGCCCGAGACCCUGGCUGAGAGGCCGCAAGGGCCAUGGGCCUGGCUCUGGACACACCAAGGAGCCCAGCAUAGGCGUGGGGGCCUGUGACCCUUCGCUCAUAUCUGUUCCCAGAUGCCUCCUGAGGCUGGAGCAAUACAAGACCCACCGCAGCUCAGACCUGCAGCCUCUCCAGGUGGGGCCUGGCGGGAGGGCAAACCUGGGCCAUCUCAGGCCCUGCAGAGCUGAGGCCACCAGCCAUGGAAGGACCCGUGGGGCUGCCAUCUCUCUAACUUCGUGCCUUAAUGUUGUGAUGCCUGUGUCUCGGGCGCUGGAGGCAGAGCCCGGCCUGCUUUCAGCUCUGCGCUCCUGGGGGCUGGUUGUUCCAUGAAGAGGCCCCUUGGGCCCUGCCUCCCUUUAGCGCUGCCCUGGACCCCGCUGGGCACCCCAUCCCGCCAGGCCUGCUGCUCCUUGUAUGGCAGCGCCAGGCUGGGGUCUCCCACUGGGAGGCGGGGCCCCCCCCAAGGCAAGCCAAGCACUGUAUCUUCCUGAUUCACCUGCCCCGUGGGUCGCAGAGCCCAUGCCGAGACCCACGGGGACUGACUAGUGUCACCCACAGACCCCCGGUGACGCAGGAGCUUCUUGGAGUGGGAGCAGGGAUCUCACUCUGCCAAGGUCAGGCUGAGGAAGCCGGGGGCCCCCAGCACAGUCCCUGUGUCCCAGGAGAGGGGACUGUCUCUCACCAUUCCGGGAAGAAGGGGGACAGUGAUGGGGGCGGGCAGCCAGGAAUGCAGGUUCAACCAGCCCCUCGAACCUGGGGCUCCGGACACUGGCGCCCCGAGGGCCCAGGACGCAUGGCCCUCACAGACUGCACCUCUGAUCCCGCUGCAGACAGGGGACGAGAACCGUGGUCCUCCCUGGCCAGGCCUCCCUGGAGACCUCGCUCAGGCCUACCUGCCUGCAUGCUAUGCAGCCCGGGCAGCUGCGGUGCCCGCGGUGGCUCAUGCCGACCAGCAGCCGUGGGGCCCACAUCUCUGCUUCUCUCCGCUGGAUUGUGUGCCCCCCGGGGGCAGGCGGGCCGGUCACUCCGCCUGGAGCGAGUUCUCACCCCACAGCACGGGCCCUCCCGGGAUGGACGGCACAGGGCCUCCCUCCACGAGGCUGCGGAUGACCAGAUGACCGCUGUGGCUGGGAGUGAGCCAGGCGUCUGGAGAGGGAGGCCAGCCUUGGCUGACCUUGGCUGACGAGAGAGGGAGGCUGACCUUGGAGUCACUGCCUGGCUUCCUCCUGCCACCUGCUGGUGGGCCAGGGCACUCAGGCCGCUGGUCCUGGGGGAGCGGAGGCCAAGACACUGGGCGCGGCUGACAGGAGGGGAGCAGCUCUGGCGGCCUGUGGGGUGAGGACCCAGGACACAGGUGCGGCGCCUCGGCCUGCAGCACCAGGGAGAGCUGGGCCCUGACCCCCAUUCCCUGCUCCCAACCCUGAGCCCCCCGGAAACACAGGGCAUGGAAUCCCUCAUCCAAACGCCCCUGCCAGGCCGUGGCAGGUCGCAGAGUCUCCAUCACCAGAAAGGUCCAGAGCAUUUGUUUCAGAGGCUGCACCCCUGGCUCCGUCCAGACGCGGGGGCCCAGGGUGCUGGUGGCCUCUGCCUUGGGGCAGCAGAGGCUCCCACUGUUACCUGGUGGCCUCGUGGCGGUCAUGGCCCCGGGCAGGAGUGGAGGUCCUGUCUGCAGGCAAGACCCGGGUGCGGGGGCUGUGGCCACAGGGCCUCCUCCAUCCAUUGGCCAAGGUCCAGGGACAGGACAGCUCCUUGCUCAUCCCGCCCAGAGCUCUGAGGGCCUGGGGUUGGGGGGCGCAGCAGGAACCAGCGCAGGCCUGCCAGCUUCAGCCGCGUGCCCACCUUGUUCAGCACCCCUGUGCCUGAAGCACAAACCUGAUGCCUGCUCACCCACACGGCUCCCCAGCACAGCCCAGCACCCCCGGUGGCAGCCACCCUGGAUGCUCGCAGGACCUUCGGCCGUGCACCGCGGACGGGACCUGCUGGGGCCUCACAGUCGAGGUGAACGCAGGGGCCCUGGCAAGCGGCUCCAGAGGGCAGUGGUACGUCCACGGCAGUGCGGGAAGUGAAGCAGGUGCUGCAGGAAGCUUGCUCGGGUUCAGUCAUGGUCCUACCAGCCGCCACGCACGUCAGGGCUGGGCCCGCUUGCCAGCUAAAGUCAGAAACCAGGACACAGACAGUGAUUUCUGAAUAACUUGGAAUAAUCUUGCUAUAAUUUAGUGUGCACGCUUAUGCAGGCAAUGUCUUAAGAGGAAAAUGAUUCGGUUCCCAUCAAAAUCUGCAUUUAAAUGAAGACAUCAGCCGCGGGCCCUCGGUGCUGGAGUCUGCCCUCCAGGUGACACCGAGGUCAUGACGGCUGCAGCGGCUGCUUCCGCACGGCCUCCUCGUGGCGGGGUGUCUGGGGGAGGUCCUGCCUCCAGCCCCCCGCCAGGCUCAGCGCUAAGAGAGCAGCGUGUGUCCUCCCCGGUGUCACCUGGGGAGACCCCCACUAACGACGGGGUGGUCAUCAUUAAGGGGCCGGGCUCUCGCCUGCCCAGAGGAGAAGGUGGCUCUAGGGUGGAGUCCCGCCGUUCCCCACGGCAGCCACGGGGCCACGCAGCCCACGCGACCCACGCAGAGGCAGCGCAGGGUCACAGGACUGCGUGAGAUGCACCAGGUGGCCCGAGCCCUCCCUGCAGCAGGGCACACGCACGGCCUGCACCCCAGGUCCCACCCCAGUGGUGGCCGGGGCUUCCAGACCCUUCUCCCCCCAGCUCAGGGCCGCAGAGAUCAGAGUCCUGACUGCACUCCUGGUAAUUGAACAAAAAUACACACAAGACCUUUAAAAAAUUAAUUCAAGUUUUCUUCCUUGAUUUGGACUCAAUUUGCUAAAACCAUUUUCAUUUGAAGAGGCCCUCUCUUCUCAUCAAAAAAGCAAAACCAAGAAAAAAAAGGCUAAAUCUGUCUGUGUGACGUGAAUACAUCUGUGAGGCGGGCAGUGCGCCCAGCUGGCAGGAUGGGGGCAUCGUGUGGGGGGUGGGGGGAGGCUCGCACCACAGCCGGGGUCUCUGCAGUCUUGUGUUCGCACGGAGCAGGUUUAAUUACUGCCCAUGUAACUGAAGUUUUGGAGCAGAUUCAAUCCAGCGCUCACAGCGGUUCUGAAGCCAUCUAGCCGCUCGGCGGCAGCGCUUGUAGAACCCGGUGAGGGACCAUUUCCUUGGCCGGAUCCAGGACCACCAGGCAGAGAGCGGCCACGACGCAGUCAGUGUGCCGGCCACGGGCUCGAGGUGCUGUCCAUGCAGCCUCACGCGUGCACGCUCACCCUCCCAGGACUGGUGCCAGCACGGGACACAGCAGGUGACAGGACGGGUGAUGAGGUCGCUGCACCUUAUCCAACCUCCCUGCCCGCCAAGUGCCCUCUCACCUCAGUACACCUGCCUGGACGGCUGGGCGGGGCUGCCCAGCAGAGGAAAUAGCUGCGGGUCUGGGACGUGGCUGUGGCCCCGAGGGGCCACGUCCUCCAGUUACGUCGUUUUGACACUUGCAAGACCACUGGUUUGGGAGAACGUGUGGACAUUUUUUUUAUUAUUAUUCAACAGAGGAGAGCAAAUUUCUUCUGCUCAGGGGGUGGUGACCCCCACUUGGGGCCAUCCAAGGGGUGACGAGUUUCCAGGGAACCUGCUGUUGGAAACGCCACCUGAAUGGGUCAGAGCAGGAGGAGGCCGACUUAAGGUCUUGCUCCUCGAGCUGCCAGUGGCCGCGGGCAGUGCUCGGAGGAGGGGGCUUCAGAGAGAGGCAGAGGUUCCGCGUGACGUAUCGACCAUCACGGCAGCACAGCUCUGGAGACAGAUGCCUCCGCGGCCACAGCCACAGACAGGACGUCCCCAUGGGCUGUGAUGCUUUUGCCUGGCAUGAAUAUUUUCAUGAAAAUACUCUCCACU